AUUGAACGCUGGCGGCAGGCUUAACACAUGCAAGUCGAGCGGAGCGAGGGUGCUUGCACCUUAGCUUAGCGGCGGACGGGUGAGUAAUGCUUAGGAAUCUGCCUAUUAGUGGGGGACAACAUUCCGAAAGGGAUGCUAAUACCGCAUACGCCCUACGGGGGAAAGCAGGGGAUCUUCGGACCUUGCGCUAAUAGAUGAGCCUAAGUCGGAUUAGCUAGUUGGUGGGGUAAAGGCCUACCAAGGCGACGAUCUGUAGCGGGUCUGAGAGGAUGAUCCGCCACACUGGGACUGAGACACGGCCCAGACGCCUACGGGAGGCAGCAGUGGGGAAUAUUGGACAAUGGGCGGAAGCCUGAUCCAGCCAUGCCGCGUGUAUGAAGAAGGCCUUUUGGUUGUAAAGCACUUUAAGCGAGGAGGAGGCUACUAGUAUUAAUACUACUGGAUAGUGGACGUUACUCGCAGAAUAAGCACCGGCUAACUCUGUGCCAGCAGCCGCGGUAA
RNAcentral lists this ribosomal RNA (501 nucleotides) under uncultured bacterium. Its description in RNAcentral is "partial 16S ribosomal RNA". It matches the Rfam family "Bacterial small subunit ribosomal RNA", at positions 30 to 523 of the family's 1533-position model. The record is from RNAcentral.